Molecule: long non-coding RNA, 1430 nt
Organism: Canis lupus familiaris (dog)
Lineage: Eukaryota; Metazoa; Chordata; Mammalia; Carnivora; Canidae
Exons: 4
Source: RefSeq, a predicted model, not a curated record
GGCGUGGGGGUCGCGCCCCGGCUGGCUCCCCGCGCGCGGCCCUCGCGGCGGCGUCCGGCUCUGGGCCUCGGGGGAGGGCGCUCUGCCCAGCCGUCGGCCACGCUCUGUAAGUGGUCACCGCGUGGGCCUCUUUCAUUUUCGGAAGCCGGCGGUGCGGCUUCUUGCCCUCCUUGGGGCCCCUUCCUUCAAUAGCCCGUUUAAUUAGGACUUUGGCGACUGGCUGGCAGCUGAGUCACCUCAUGAAGUGGGGCCGUGACGCUCCUUUCAGAUCCUUUUUGGAUGAACCGUAGGGUUGAGACACUGGUUCUCAGCUGUGGCGGUUUUUGCCUCCCAGAAGACCAUUGGCAAUGUCGGGAGCUUUUUCAGCCUCCUGUCUGUGGGAGACGUGUCACUAGCAUCUCUCCAGAUGACAGAGGGUACAGUGCUAUGGUACCCACAAACAUAAGCCCCAUUAUGGGGCUCCCUCUGGGCAGCAGCUACAAAAACUGGGGCAUCAGACAUGUGGACGAGCUCCUUUCUGGGAGACUGAUGGCCUGAGGGAGAACAGGAAGAUGCACAUACCAGCCUCCAAUGUCUGGAUAGUAUUAAAUUAGACACCUGCCCCCAAGGCUUUUAAGAAUUAGAGUGAAAAGAAACUCAGAAAUCAGUCCAUUAUUCCUCCCUCCAAGCUCACAGAGUUGCCGGCUAGACACCGAUUCUGAUCAGAACAAGGGGACCAGACAGGCAUCUGGAGUCAAAGGUUGGUGAAAGCUGUGAUAACCUUCCGUUCCACCGUACCAAAACUAUUCAAAGGCCACAGCAGCCAGGUUCUGCCAACUGUCCAUCCCUGCUCUGUGAUCCCAAGACACAAGGCCCUGUGCCAUCUCUACCUCUAAUCAUCUAGAUUCUGCAAGCUGCUUUGAUCUACUGCAGUUGCUGACAAGUAACUACCCAGUCCACCCUUUAAUACCUUUGGUGACACAACUCAGCGUUUCAAAAGACAAGCCAUUGCAGUUUUAGGCAAUGCCGAAAAAUUAUGAAGUUCCUUUCUAAUCUGACUAAAGGGGUUUGUAAACUUUAAAUGCUGCCCUACUGAAUUUCUUCUCUUUUCACUUACCAAUAGGUAACAAAAUAGCUUAUCAUUCAGUAUUUGAUACUAAUCCUAAAACCAGAAGCAAAAAAUCAUAGUUCUACUUGCACCAAACAGAUAAGUCAGAAUAAUGAUGAAAAGCACUUUCUACUUGCAAAUCAAAAUGGAAGAUCAGUACUGGUUCAGUUCGAGAAAAAUGCAAGGUUUCCACCUACACAGCAUCUCCUACUUUUCAGGGCUUCUUUUCACUGCAUAAAAAAUUUUAAAUGUAUCAACAUUAAAAGAUUCAGAGUACAGUCACCAACAUUAAAAGAUUCAGAGUACAGUCACUUAAAUUAACAUCAGUUCUGUCUGCAAAUAG